Molecule: small nuclear RNA, 276 nt
Filed under: Anolis carolinensis (green anole)
Lineage: Eukaryota; Metazoa; Chordata; Lepidosauria; Squamata; Anolidae
Description: 7SK RNA
Rfam family: 7SK RNA
About the family: 7SK was discovered as an abundant small nuclear RNA in the mid-70s but a possible function has only recently been suggested. Two independent studies have found that 7SK RNA binds the CDK9/cyclin T complex (known as elongation factor P-TEFb). P-TEFb activates transcription by phosphorylating the C-terminal domain of RNA polymerase II.
Source: Rfam by way of RNAcentral
GGAUGUGAGGGCAAUCUGGCUGUGACAUCUGUCACCCCACUAAAUCAUUGCCAGGGUUGAUUUGGCUGACCUGGCUGAUCUGUUGGGUGUCCCCUUCCUCCCUCACUGCUCCAUGUGUGUCCCUCCCAAAGCUGCACGCUCAGUGGAAGAGGACAACGUCCCAGGUAUAGAAGGAGUGUACCGAGGUCUCUAGGUGGAAAAGAGUAGUAGAGCUGAGUGUCAUCUGCAUAUAAUACAUUGCACUCUAAAACUCCAGGUGACCAAAUGUUUUCUAGG